Long non-coding RNA from Sinocyclocheilus grahami, 189 nucleotides. RefSeq lists it as uncharacterized. The transcript is spliced from 3 exons. NCBI's taxonomy places the organism in Eukaryota, Metazoa, Chordata, Actinopteri, Cypriniformes, Cyprinidae. The record is from RefSeq and is a predicted model, not a curated record.
AAUUUCACAGGAUUGUCAGUAAGAUGGAUGUUGGAGAGUGAGUAACUUGCUGGAGAUUGAAAUCAUUCUGACAUGUGGCAUAUUGAUCUCAUUACUGGGUCAACCGCUUUAAGUUUCUUCAAGAAGCCCUGAUGCAAGUAAAAGCACUUUAAUCCAAGCCCAGCAGUAUCUGAUUGACCAUCUGAAGGU